RNAcentral lists this transfer RNA (85 nucleotides) under Patescibacteria group bacterium. Its description in RNAcentral is "tRNA-Ser". It matches the Rfam family "tRNA". Rfam says of the family: Transfer RNA (tRNA) molecules are approximately 80 nucleotides in length. Their secondary structure includes four short double-helical elements and three loops (D, anti-codon, and T loops). The record is from RNAcentral.
GGAGGGGUGGCAGAGAGGUCGAUCGCGCCUGUCUUGAAAACAGGAGUCUGUAAAAGGACCGUGGGUUCGAAUCCCACCCCCUCCG